This 482-nucleotide long non-coding RNA is filed under the name Mus spicilegus (steppe mouse). RNAcentral describes it as "lncRNA (ENSMSIG00000025499.1)". Lineage: Eukaryota; Metazoa; Chordata; Mammalia; Rodentia; Muridae. The record is from RNAcentral.
GCCCCUGGGACUAUGAAAAGACCAUUUUCUGUUGCUUUAAACUGUCCAAUUUGGGGACUCUUUCCCAGUUGCCCUGGAAGUCACAGGCAUUUUUAACAGUAUAGCUUCUGGGACAGGAGAGCCCUCCUCUGCCUCAGCUGACACAGAGGUACCUGGCUAGCCCCAUGUCACUGCUCUCAGCGGGGACUGGGGUUCCUGCACCCAGCCUCCCCUAGUCUCCUGGGAUCCGCAACUUCCUCAGAGGACACAUAAAGGGUCUGGGCUGGAAUCUGAAGCCACGGCGAAUCCUCCGAAUGCUGAAGGGCUUUAAAACGGGAUGGUAUGGCUUCUACUUCCCAACACAUGGAACAAACCUCAGGGGACCCAGUACAGCGGGCGUCCAGCUGGGCCUAAAUGAGCUUGAGUCCCAAGCCCUACGCAGUGCCUCCUCACAGCCUCAGAAACGUAAGAAAUCCAGACAUUUCACAGAAGCGAGUAUUCCC